AGACCGGUCCAAGCACAGGAGGCGUUGCGCAGGCAAAUCCGCGCAAUAAGCCAAAGGUGUGACGGGGAGCGAAAUUAUAGUAGCGAAGUCCGGAUACAUGCUGUCAAGAAAAGCCGCUAUUGCGCCAUAUGUACCCGUACCGUAAACCGACACAGGUGGAUGAGGAGAGAAUCCUAAGGCCGGCGGGAGAAGUGUUGUUAAGGAACUCGGCAAAAUGGCCCCGUAACUUCGGGAGAAGGGGCGCCCAGAAAUGGGCCGCAGAGAAAAGGCUCAAGCAACUGCUUAGCAAAAACACAGGUCUAUGCGAAACCGAAAGGUGAGGUAUAUGGGCUGACGCCUGCCCGGUGCUGGAAGGUUAAGGGGAGAGGUUAGCCGCAAGGCGAAGCUUUGAACUUAAGCCCCAGUAAACGGCGGCCGUAACGAUAACGGUCCUAAGGUAGCGAAAUUCCUUGUCGGGUAAGUUCCGACCCGCACGAAAGGCGUAAUGAUUUGAGCACUGUCUCGACAACACACCCGGUGAAAUUGAAAUACCAGUGAAGAUGCUGGUUACCUGCGCCAGGACGGAAAGACCCCAUGGAGCUUUACUCUAGUUUGAUACUGGGACCCGGUAUGACAUGUACAGGAUAGGUGGGAGGCAGAGAAUUAAUGACGCCAGUCAUUAAGGAGCCGCUGUUGGGAUACCACCCUUGUGAUGCCAGGUUUCUAACGAGCUGCCGUGAACCGGCAGGCGGACAAUGUCAGGCGGGGAGUUUGACUGGGGCGGUCGCCUCCGAAAGGGUAUCGGAGGCGCUCAAAGGUUCCCUCAGAAUGGUUGGAAACCAUUCGGAGAGUGCAAAGGCAGAAGGGAGCCUGACUGCGACACCGACGGGUGGAGCAGGUACGAAAGUAGGACUUAGUGAUCCGGUGGUAUAAAGUGGGAUUGCCAUCGCUCAACGGAUAAAAGCUACCCUGGGAUAACAGGCUUAUCACUCCCAAGAGUUCACAUCGACGGAGUGGUUUGGCACCUCGAUGUCGGCUCAUCGCAUCCUGGGGCUGGAGUAGGUCCCAAGGGUUGGGCUGUUCGCCCAUUAAAGCGGUACGCGAGCUGGGUUCAGAACGUCGUGAGACAGUUCGGUCCCUAUCCGGCGCGGGCGUAAGAGAUCUGAGAGGAGCUGUCCUUAGUACGAGAGGACCGGGAUGGACGGACCACUGGUGUAUCUGUUGCACCACCAGGUGCACGGCAGAGUAGCCAAGUCCGGACGGGAUAAACGCUGAAGGCAUCUAAGCGUGAAGCCCCCCUCAAGAUGAGAUCUUUCAUUCGAAAGAAGUAAGACCCCUUGAAGACGACGAGGUAGAUAGGGCAGGGGUGGAAGGGCAGUAAUGUCCGGAGCUGACUGUUACUAAUCGGUCGAGGGCUUGACC
Molecule: ribosomal RNA, 1401 nt
Filed under: metagenome
Description: bacterial LSU rRNA
Rfam family: Bacterial large subunit ribosomal RNA
Source: RNAcentral